CGCACUUGCGGCCGCUGACGCCCGCUCCGCGGACCCCGCGACCCGUUGCCGGGAAGGUUUUUUUUUUUUUUUUUUUCCUGCUUUUUCAGAGGAAGGAAACAUGAUUUGCGUGCGGAAGGGCCCAGCAAUCUUCACGUCCCUCCAGGCUGGGAUGCGAAGGAGAUACUGAGGUGCUUGAUGAGAAAGGCAGGGGUGAUCAGACUUGGGAGGACGCGGUUGUGAAAGACACAGAAGAAAAGAAACAUUAAAAAAAUAUCUCCUGUUUCGUUUCGGCCAUUUUCCUAUCUAGUUGGAUCCUCACAGUAUCUCUACCAGGGAAUUUCUGGCAAGCAAAAUUGACAGUAGAGAAAAUUCCGUGCGGAGGACCUCGCAGGAGGAACACGGUAAGAAAAACCCCCAACCUCCUGCUAUAGCAUUUAUAAUACAAACUACAGAAAGUAAAGGGGACAAAUUGUUGACAGAGGAAGAAAGGUCAUGGGCAUCCAGAAGAUGGAGAGUCAGAUGCCUGGGGAGGGUGUCUGUGGUUGAUGGGAUGUGGGAGACACAUUUGCUAAUGACAUUUCAUGGCACAUAUAUGGAAUUAUGUCCCUCUGGACUGUGUCUGAGGUAUAGCAUUAAGAUGUUUUAUCUAACAUUUGAUGGAGUUGCUGAAGUCUACAGCCCAAAAGGGAUGGGAGUGGGUAGGGUAGGGGGUCAUUGUGCAACCCAUUUAUUCCUCUCUUGAUGGACAUCUGAAUUGUUUCUAUUGACUUUCUUCCUAUACACUUUAUUUUGUACUGUCUGAAUUUUAUAUCAUCUGUUACUUUUGUGAUCAGGGAAAAAUAAAUAAGACCCAGAGGUCUGGGAUGGCAGGGUGGGUGGAACCAAAGGCUGAGUUUCCCUAAAUUAUCAAGAGCCCUUGCAACUCAUGGUGAAAAAAACAUAAACACUCCAAAAGAAAGAUGUUAAUUGGGGUGCCUGGAUGGCUCAGGGGGUUAAGCCUCUGCCUUUGGCUCAGGUCAUGGU
Long non-coding RNA from Mustela erminea (ermine), 1005 nucleotides. RefSeq lists it as uncharacterized. The transcript is spliced from 3 exons. Lineage: Eukaryota; Metazoa; Chordata; Mammalia; Carnivora; Mustelidae. The record is from RefSeq and is a predicted model, not a curated record.